RNAcentral lists this unclassified non-coding RNA (337 nucleotides) under soil metagenome. Its description in RNAcentral is "partial contains 5.8S ribosomal RNA, internal transcribed spacer 2, and large subunit ribosomal RNA". The stretch from base 1 to 120 matches the Rfam family "5.8S ribosomal RNA", at positions 35 to 154 of the family's 154-position model. The record is from RNAcentral.
GAUGAAGAACGUAGCGAAAUGCGAUAAGUAGUGUGAAUUGCAGAAUUCAGUGAAUCAUCGAAUCUUUGAACGCACAUUGCGCCCCUUGGUAUUCCAUGGGGCAUGCCUGUUCGAGCGUCAUUUGUACCUUCAAGCUCUGCUUGGUGUUGGGUGUUUGUCUCGCCUCUGCGUGUAGACUCGCCUCAAAACAAUUGGCAGCCGGCGUAUUGAUUUCGGAGCGCAGUACAUCUCGCGCUUUGCACUCAUAACGACGACGUCCAAAAGUACAUUUUUACACUCUUGACCUCGGAUCAGGUAGGAAUACCCGCUGAACUUAAGCAUAUCAAUAAGCGGAGGA